RNAcentral lists this ribosomal RNA (384 nucleotides) under uncultured bacterium. Its description in RNAcentral is "bacterial SSU rRNA". It matches the Rfam family "Bacterial small subunit ribosomal RNA", at positions 29 to 412 of the family's 1533-position model. The record is from RNAcentral.
AUUGAACGCUGGCGGCGUGCUUAACACAUGCAAGUCGAUCGGUAACAGGUGUAGCAAUACAUGCUGACGAGAGGCGGACGGGUGAGUAAUGCUUGGGAAUCUGCCUAUUAGUGGGGGACAACCCGGGGAAACUCGGGCUAAUACCGCAUACGCUCUACGGAGGAAAGCCGGGGACCGCAAGGCCUGGCGCUAAUAGAUGAGCCCAAGUCGGAUUAGCUAGUUGGUAGGGUAACGCCUACCAAGGCGACAAUCCGUAGCUGGUCUGAGAGGACGACCAGCCACACCGGAACUGAGACACGGUCCGGACUCCGUACGGGAGGCAGCAGUGGGGAAUAUUGGACAAUGGGGGCAACCCUGAUCCAGCGACGCCGCGUGGGUGAAGAA